AUUACCUUGCCCAGCAGCCCGCCGGUUAUUACGUAGGGGCGCAAGCGGUUUUCCGGAAAUAUUGGGGCGUAAAGAAGCUUGUAGGCGGUUUGGUCGCGUUCUGCCGGGGAAAGUCCGGGGCUCAACUCCGGAUUUGCGGUGGGUACGGGCAGACUAGAGUGAUGUAGGGGAGACUGGAAUUCUUGGUGUAGCGGUGAAAUGCGCAGAUAUCAGGAGGAACACCGAUGGCGAAGGCAGGUCUCUGGGCAUUAACUGACGCUGAGGAGCGAAAGCAUGGGGAGCGAACAGGAUUAGAUACCCUGGUAGUCCAUGCCGUAAACGUUGGGCACUAGGUGUGGGGGACAUUCCACGUUUUCCGCGCCGUAGCUAACGCAUUAAGUGCCCCGCCUGGGGAGUACGGCCACAAGGCUAAAACUCAAAGGAAUUGACGGGGGCCCGCACAAGCGGCGGAGCAUGCGGAUUAAUUCGAUGCAACGCAAAGGACCUUACCAAGGCUUGACAUGAACCGGACCGCCGCAGAAAUGUGGUUUCCCCUUUGGGGCUGGUUUACAGGUGGUGCAUGGUUGUCGUCAGCUCGUGUCGUGAGAUGUUGGGUUAAGUCCCGCAACGAGCGCAACCCUCGUUCUAUGUUGCCAGCACGUGAUGGUGGGGACUCAUAGGAGACUGCCGGGGUCAACUCGGAGGAAGGUGGGGACGACGUCAAAUCAUCAUGCCCCUUAUGUCUUGGGCUUCACGCAUGCUACAAUGGCCGGUACAAAGGGUUGCGAUACUGUGAGGUGGAGCUAAUCCCAAAAAGCCGGUCUCAGUUCGGAUUGGGGUCUGCAACUCGACCCCAUGAGGUCGGAGUCGCUAGUAAUCGCAGAUCAGCAACGCUGCGGUGAAUACGUUCCCGGGCCUUGUACACACCGCCCGUCAAGUCACGAAAGUUGGUAACACCCGAAGCCGGUGGCCUAACCCCUUGUGGGAGGGAGCCGUCGAAGGUGGGACUGGCGAUUGGGACUAAGUCGUAACAAGGUAGCCGUACCGGAAGGUGCGGCUG
This 1039-nucleotide ribosomal RNA is filed under the name uncultured bacterium. Its description in RNAcentral is "bacterial SSU rRNA". It matches the Rfam family "Bacterial small subunit ribosomal RNA", at positions 497 to 1520 of the family's 1533-position model. The record is from RNAcentral.